GGAAUGUGGCUCAGUGGUAGAGUGUUUGCCUAGCAUGUAUGAGGCGUUGGAUUCAAGUCUCAGCACCA
This 68-nucleotide transfer RNA is filed under the name Marmota monax (woodchuck). RNAcentral describes it as "tRNA.Ala". The record is from RNAcentral. Lineage: Eukaryota; Metazoa; Chordata; Mammalia; Rodentia; Sciuridae.